RNAcentral lists this ribosomal RNA (253 nucleotides) under uncultured bacterium. Its description in RNAcentral is "partial 16S ribosomal RNA". It matches the Rfam family "Bacterial small subunit ribosomal RNA", at positions 524 to 776 of the family's 1533-position model. The record is from RNAcentral.
UACAGAGGGGGCAAGCGUUGUUCGGAAUUACUGGGCGUAAAGGGCGCGUAGGCGGCCGAUCAAGUCAGAUGUGAAAGUCCUGGGCUUAACCUGGGGACUGCAUUUGAUACUGAUUGGCUUGAAUUCGGGAGAGGAUAGCGGAAUUCCCAGUGUAGAGGUGAAAUUCGUAGAUAUUGGGAAGAACACCGGUGGCGAAGGCGGCUAUCUGGACGGUAACUGACGCUGAGACGCGAAAGCGUGGGGAGCAAACAGG